RNAcentral lists this unclassified non-coding RNA (488 nucleotides) under uncultured Glomus. Its description in RNAcentral is "SSU rRNA". It matches the Rfam family "Eukaryotic small subunit ribosomal RNA", at positions 569 to 1064 of the family's 1831-position model. Lineage: Eukaryota; Fungi; Glomeromycota; Glomeromycetes; Glomerales; Glomeraceae. The record is from RNAcentral.
AGCAGCCGCGGUAAUUCCAGCUCCAAUAGCGUAUAUUAAAGUUGUUGCAGUUAAAAGCUCGUAGUUGAAUUUCGGGAUCAAUAUGUUGGUCGUGCCUCGGUACGUACUAGCAUAUUGGUUUCUCCUUUCUGAAGAACCAUGAUGUCAUUUAUUUGGUGUCGUGGGGAAUCAGGACUGUUACUUUGAAAAAAUUAGAGUGUUUAAAGCAGGCUCACGCUUGAAUACAUUAGCAUGGAAUAAUGAAAUAGGACGUUUGAUUCUAUUUUGUUGGUUUCUAGGAUCGACGUAAUGAUUAAUAGGGAUAGUUGGGGGCAUUAGUAUUCAAUUGUCAGAGGUGAAAUUCUUGGAUUUAUUGAAGACUAACUACUGCGAAAGCAUUUGCCAAGGAUGUUUUCAUUAAUCAAGAACGAAAGUUAGGGGAUCGAAGACGAUCAGAUACCGUCGUAGUCUUAACCAUAAACUAUGCUGACUAGGGAUCGGAUGAUGUU